CCAAUCACAACGAAGAGAACGGUUGUGUAACCAAUCAUAAAGAAGAGAAGAUAGACUCCUUGGAAAGCGAUAUAAACAAGUCUGAUGAAGGCAUUGUAAGGGUCGAAAUCAACAAGGAGGAGAAACUGGACCAACA
Long non-coding RNA from Dendronephthya gigantea, 136 nucleotides. RefSeq lists it as uncharacterized. Lineage: Eukaryota; Metazoa; Cnidaria; Anthozoa; Malacalcyonacea; Nephtheidae. The record is from RefSeq and is a predicted model, not a curated record. The transcript is spliced from 3 exons.